This 224-nucleotide long non-coding RNA is filed under the name Ursus maritimus (polar bear). RNAcentral's name for it is "lncRNA (ENSUMAG00000015452.1)". Lineage: Eukaryota; Metazoa; Chordata; Mammalia; Carnivora; Ursidae. The record is from RNAcentral.
CUUGCUGGAAUCCGGCACACACUUGAGACAGUAGGAAAAUAAUCUGAGGAAACUGAGCAAAAUGACUUAUAGUCCAGAAGGAAUAUUUUUUCUACCAUGUUAAUGUAAUUGGAUGGGAAAUUCAACUAAUAAUCCAUCCCUGUUAUGCCAGUUUUAAAAAGGGCAAGAAGUAUAUUCUCUAUACAUUACAUUUGCCCCUGGGGAGAAAUUUGCCUGCUAUAGCA